GAAAUGCGAUAAGUAAUGCGAAUUGCAGAAUUUCCGUGAGUCAUCGAAUCUUUGAACGCUCAUUGCGCCCAUUGGUAUUCCGAUGGGCAUGCCUGUUCGAGCGUCAUUAUCCUCUCUCAAACCUCGGGUUUGGUGUUGGGCCGCGUCGCGCUACCCCCUGCGCGCCGGGCCUCAAAGACAAUGACGGCGUCCGUGGGACCCUCGGUGCAACGAGCUUCUAGUGAGCACGCGUCGAGUUUCAAGGACCCUCCGGGCCGGUCUGACCUUUUUUACUUUUCUAAGGUUGACCUCGGAUCAGGUAGGAAUACCCGCUGAACUUAAGCAU
RNAcentral lists this unclassified non-coding RNA (325 nucleotides) under plant metagenome. RNAcentral's name for it is "partial contains 5.8S ribosomal RNA, internal transcribed spacer 2, and large subunit ribosomal RNA". The stretch from base 1 to 106 matches the Rfam family "5.8S ribosomal RNA", at positions 50 to 154 of the family's 154-position model. The record is from RNAcentral.